GUAUUUACUCAUUACCGUUUAAAAAGUGUUUCUCGGAGUUCCCAUCGUGGUGUGUGGUUAAUGAAUCUGACUAAGAACCAUGAGGUUGCGGGUUCAAUCCCUGGCCUUGCUUAGUGGGUUAAGGAUCUGGCGUUGCCAUGAGCUGUGGUGUAGGUUGCAGACACGGCUCGGAUCCUGUGUUGCUGUGGCCCUGGCGUAGGCUGUGGCUACAGCUCCGAUUCGACCCCUAGCCUGGGAAGCUCCAUAUGCCACAGGGGUGGCCCUAGAAAAGGCAAAAAGACAAAAUAAUAAUAAUAAUAAUAAUAAUAAAAUAAAAAGUCUCUCUCCAAAUGGAAUGUAAAUUCUGAGCAGGAUGGGAGCAUGUCAGUUUUGCUCAUCAUUGCACAGGGCCUUCCAGAUAGUAGAUACCAAAUAAAUACCUGGUACCAAAUGCAGGUAUAGCGUGUUGGAGAAGGUUUCCUGAGGAUGUGACAUCUACACUGAGACUAAGAAGUGGAUAGGACUGGCUCAGGAGGAAGAGGAGGGGGCGGUUAGGGGCACCUCAGGCAGAGGGACAAGCAGGUCAAAGUGUCAUAAGGCAGGAAGAUGCUUGGCAUCUUCCAGAAAUUAAAAAUGGAUGGGAGUUUCUUGGUAGCUCAGUGGGUUAAGGAUCUAGUGUCGUCACUGCUGUGGUGCAGAUUCAAUCCCUGGCCCAAAACUUUUACUUGCCGCAGGCAUGGCCAAAAAGAAAAUUCAAAGAAAGCUAGUAUUGGAGUUCCCGUUGUGGUUCAGUGGGAACAAAUCUGACUAGUACCCACGAGGACGCAGGUUCAAUCCCUGGCCUCGCUCAGUGGGUUGAGGAUCCGGCAUGGCCGUGAGCUGUGGUGUAGGUUGCAGACUCGGGUCGGAUCCUGAGCUGCUGUGGCUGUGGUGUAGGCUGACAGCUCCAGCUCCGAUUAGACCCCUAGCCUGGGAACCUCCCUAUGCCACGGGUACGAAUCCCCCCCCCCCAAAAAAAAGGACAAAAAAAAAAAAA
Molecule: long non-coding RNA, 1015 nt
Filed under: Sus scrofa (pig)
Lineage: Eukaryota; Metazoa; Chordata; Mammalia; Artiodactyla; Suidae
Description: lncRNA (ENSSSCG00005023458.1)
Source: RNAcentral